Molecule: transfer RNA, 73 nt
Filed under: Arsenophonus sp.
Lineage: Bacteria; Pseudomonadati; Pseudomonadota; Gammaproteobacteria; Enterobacterales; Morganellaceae
Description: tRNA-Ala
Rfam family: tRNA
About the family: Transfer RNA (tRNA) molecules are approximately 80 nucleotides in length. Their secondary structure includes four short double-helical elements and three loops (D, anti-codon, and T loops).
Source: RNAcentral
GGGGCUAUAGCUCAGCUGGUAGAGCACCUGCUUUGCACGCAGGAGGUCAGCGGUUCGAUCCCGCUUGGCUCCA